ACAACCAGGAUGUUGGCUUAGAAGCAGCCACUCAUUUAAAGAGUGCGUAAUAGCUCACUGGUCGAGUGAUUCUGCGCCGAAAAUUUCCGGGGCUAAAACUUACUACCGAAGCUACGGCAUCAUUUAUGAUGGGUAGGGGAGCUUCGUAUGCAGGCUGAAGCAUGACCGUAAGGACAUGUGGACAGUAUACGAGUGAGAAUGUUGGCAUGAGUAGCGAGAUGUGGGUGAGAAUCCCACAGGCCGUAAACCCAAGGUUUCCAGGGGAAGGUUCGUCCGCCCUGGGUUAGUCAGGACCUAAGCCGAGGCCGAAAGGCGUAGGUGAUGGACAACAGGUUGAUAUUCCUGUACCACCAAUAACCGUUUGAGAAAUGGGAUGACACAGUAGGAUAAGCUAACCGCACUGUUGGUUAUGUGCGGGCAAGUAUUGAGGCAGUUCCGAUAGGCAAAUCCGUCGGAAUAAUGCUGGGGUACGAUGCGGAGCGAAAUUUAGUAGCGAAGUAGCUGAUUUCACACUGUCGAGAAAAGUCUCUAUCGAGGUUAAAGGUGCCUGUACCGCAAACCGACACAGGUGGGUGAGGAGAGUAUCCUAAGGCCAGCGAGAGAACUGUUGUUAAGGAACUCGGCAAAAUGACCCCGUAACUUAGGGAGAAGGGGUGCCUUCGAAAGAAGGCCGCAGAGAAUAGGCCCAAGCGACUGUUUACCAAAAACAUAGGUUUCUGCUAAGUCGCAAGACGAUGUAUAGGAGCUGACGCCUGCCCGGUGCUGGAAGGUUAAGGGGAUCUGUUAGAGCAAUCGAAGCAGUGAACUUAAGCCCCAGUAAACGGCGGCCGUAACUAUAACGGUCCUAAGGUAGCGAAAUUCCUUGUCGGGUAAGUUCCGACCCGCACGAAAGGCGUAACGAUUUGGGCACUGUCUCAACAACAGACUCGGUGAAAUUGUAAUACCGGUGAAGAUGCCGGUUACCUGCGACAGGACGGAAAGACCCCAUGGAGCUUUACUGUAGCUUGACAUUGAGUCUCGGUGCUACAUGUACAGGAUAGGUGGGAGACUAUGAAGCAUGGACGUCAGUCUGUGUGGAGUCAUCCUUGGGAUACCACCCUUGUAGUACUGGGAUUCUAACCAGAGGCCAUGAAUCUGGUCUUGGGACACUGUCAGGUGGACAGUUUGACUGGGGCGGUCGCCUCCCAAAAAGUAACGGAGGCGCUCAAAGGUUCUCUCAGUACGGUCGGAAAUCGUACGAAGAGUGUAAAGGCAAAAGAGAGCUUGAUUGCAAGACAUACAGGUCGAGCAAGGACGAAAGUCGGACUUAGUGAUCCGGUGGUUCCGCAUGGAAGGGCCAUCGCUCAACGGAUAAAAGCUACCCUGGGGAUAACAGGCU
Molecule: ribosomal RNA, 1378 nt
Filed under: human gut metagenome
Description: bacterial LSU rRNA
Rfam family: Bacterial large subunit ribosomal RNA
Source: RNAcentral